CAGAGUGAGCUUGACUCAUCAUGGUACAAAGCCUUUAACCAUCAGAAGGAAGUGGGAAUUAUGGGGGCAUGGCUGGUAUUUGACUCUGUCCCCUGGCCCCUGGCUCCUGAAUGCUUGCCUUGGUUCUAAGCAGAGAAAGGACUGAGAAGUAAAAUGGCAGGGCUGUUUCUGGAACACACUAAUUCACAGGCAGCCCUGCUUAGUUUGACUUCCCACACCUGUUCCCCAUAGGAAACCACUGGUUCUCAUAGUUACCAGUUGGCCCCUCUCUAAUCCCUAGCAUGUCAUUUUCAUGAGGAAAAAAUGGAAAACAAAGUUCUCCUACAAUAACUAGAAAUUUCCAGAGGUUAAUAAUUUUGGAAGCAUAUUCUUCUGGAUAUGUAUGUAGUCUUUUAUUAGUUCUAGCCGUUUUUCAUCAGAUUUUUAAAGUUUUUUCUGGGUAAACAAUCAUGAUUUGCAAGUAAUAAUUAUACUGACACCUAA
RNAcentral lists this long non-coding RNA (483 nucleotides) under Pan troglodytes (chimpanzee). RNAcentral's name for it is "long non-coding RNA NONPTRT003185". The record is from RNAcentral. Lineage: Eukaryota; Metazoa; Chordata; Mammalia; Primates; Hominidae.